UCCCUGGUGGUCCAGUGAUUUGGACUCUGCCCUUCCACUGCAGGGUCACAGGUUCAAUCCCUGACUGGGGAA
This 72-nucleotide transfer RNA is filed under the name Bos taurus (domestic cattle). It matches the Rfam family "tRNA". Rfam says of the family: Transfer RNA (tRNA) molecules are approximately 80 nucleotides in length. Lineage: Eukaryota; Metazoa; Chordata; Mammalia; Artiodactyla; Bovidae. The record is from Rfam by way of RNAcentral. RNAcentral also lists the same sequence under 5 other names.